UUUCUUCAAUAACUUCGUUGAUUUUUAUCUGAUCGCAACCAAAUUUUCAGGAAUCAAAAAGUCUAUAGGGUUUAUUGUGUAUUCCAAAAUUCGGGCGGAAGUGUGCGUGGCACAUUUAAUAUAGACAUUUAAUAUAUAAAAUUCUUCAAUAAACAAUGGAUUAGUUACUACUGUGAGAGGACAUUAUUGAAACUAUAGCUAACAUAUAUCAUAUAUACAUAAUUUUGUCCUUGUCAUUGUCCUUGUUGACUCAGACAAAGGGAGGAGAAGCAGAUCUUGGUUUUUGUUCAUAAGACGAAAAUGACUUCGUUGGAGCUUCUUUUUGCACUAGUUGGGUCCACCUACGCGGCUUUGAUCCAGGAACUUUGGAUAGCGUCGGGCAACAUGGUCGGCGGGCUGAAGUCUCAAAAUUACAACCUCUACGUCCAGAUAAUGGUAACCAGACCAAGAACUGUUAUUCUUUUAAAGAGGGUAGAACUAAUAAUCGAACUGCUAACUACUGGAAAGCUGUAAUGAAUUAUUGGAACGGACGCCAACGCCCAGCAUAGCGUUUGGGGAAAUACAGAAACCAAUAAAAUGGGUCGUACUUCACGCACUAUGCUAGACAUGACUUUCACUACUCUAGAUACCCAUUGAGGAGAAGGGAGAGUCCAGACUUUUCUAUUCUGAUCAUAGGUACAUUCGGUUUAAAAUUGAAUUCAACAAGGUUUCCUUGGCUAAGCAAUACGGACUGAGUGACGUUGUUCAGUAUCGUUACAAACACUAGAUCCGGCGAGUACAAUUAAUUCGUUACAGGAUAUAGAAACAUCUGUGAAUGUUCUAUCAAAAUGACUACUUUUCACGCUGCGACAAGAAGCCAUCAAUGCCACCUUGGUGGAACCCAGAUCUGUCAUCGCUCCGUGAAAUCUGGUCCAUCAACUACUCCUGGUAUCAACUACUGCACAGCGCUGUCUCGGCGAGGUGAUCCUAUUGAAACAAUAAUUUUUGCUAUCGGCCAACUGGCUUACGUAGAGUGAGAGGCAGCAGCAGCACCACAUGAGAAAAAAAAUAAAACAAUAAUGUAUUAGGAGUGCAACUAAGUGCGCCCUGUUUUUCGAAAAAAAAACCCAAUUGUAUCAUCGCCAACGCAUACAAUCGCUUGGAAACGGCUUGACGGGUAACUCAAGUAAUUAUAAAGCAAGCUCUUCUUGAGUUUGGCACGUAUCCUCUUCGAGCAAGGCCUCCAAUUUAGCGCCUUCGUAGGUUUUGGGCCUUCCUUCACGAGGACGGCCGUCAACAUAAGAAUCACAGUAUUUGAAGAGACGAAACCAAACACGGCAUGUUUCGCUCAGCGCACCAUUUCCGUACAUUUUUUGGAGCACUCGACGCGCUCAAGCUGCCUUUUUUUCAAAUGGAAGAAGAAAAUCAACACUUCCCGCAUAAGACGAUUGAUUGACAUUUUUACUUAACCAGAAGUAUAUAAUGCGAACACGAAAUCACUCAUGUGUCGCAGCAGUUUGUUUACCAAAUGUCUAAGCUUGGUUCGUGACGUUUUAAAUAUGUCAAAAUCGACAAACUCUUUCUGCUAAAGCCAUCUACUGACAAACAGCGAGAACUUAGUUUCGCACCUAGUAUAACAAAGCUAACAAAGCUACAGUUGAAUGUGCUCGACUGUGAGAUACUCGCUACCCAAUUUAAAUAAAAGCAAAAUAUUGCGAUAUUCUCAAAAUAUACCGAAAUACUACAAAAAUAAUAAAUAUAUAACAACGGAAGUGGGCGUAGAAAAAAUUGUAAACAAACUUGAUCUGGGUGCAAACAUAACAAAUACUAUCGAAAAUUAUUAGAAUUAGAGCUGUAUCUCUUAUAGUCUCUGAGAUCCUGUGUUUCAUACGGACGGACGGACAUGGCUAGAUCGUCUCGGCUGUUGAUACUGAUGAAGAAUAUAUAUAUUUUAUAGGUCGGAAAUGCCUCCUUUUACCUGUUACAUAUAUUUCCUGUACGCAAAAAGUUAUAAUACCCUUCUAGCCUAUGGGUAACGGGUAUAAAAACUGGAGUCCUUACUUUAACUCCUUGUUUAAACAUUUUACUUUAUAUUUAAGUAAAUUACAUACGCUAUUAU
Drosophila albomicans is the source of this 2098-nucleotide long non-coding RNA. RefSeq lists it as uncharacterized. The transcript is spliced from 4 exons. The record is from RefSeq and is a predicted model, not a curated record. Lineage: Eukaryota; Metazoa; Arthropoda; Insecta; Diptera; Drosophilidae.